AUUGAACGCUGGCGGCAUGCCUUACACAUGCAAGUCGAACGGUAACAGGUCUUCGGAUGCUGACGAGUGGCGAACGGGUGAGUAAUACAUCGGAACGUGCCUAGUAGUGGGGGAUAACUACUCGAAAGAGUGGCUAAUACCGCAUGAGAUCUACGGAUGAAAGCAGGGGAUCGCAGGACCUUGUGCUACCAGAGCGGCCGAUGGCAGAUUAGGGAGUUGGUGGGAUAAAAGCUGACCAAGCCGACGAGCUGUAGCUGGUCUGAGAGGACGAUCAGCCACACUGGGACUGGGAAACGGCCCAGACUCCUACGGGAGGCAGCAGUGGGGAAUUUUGGACAAUGGGCGCAAGCCUGAUCCAGCAAUGCCGCGUGCAGGAUGAAGGCCUUCGGGUUGUAAACUGCUUUUGUACGGAACGAAAAGCCCCGGGUUAAUACCCUGGGGUCAUGACGGUACCGUAAGAAUAAGCACCGGCUAACUACGUGCCAGCAGCCGCCGUAA
RNAcentral lists this ribosomal RNA (498 nucleotides) under uncultured bacterium. Its description in RNAcentral is "partial 16S ribosomal RNA". It matches the Rfam family "Bacterial small subunit ribosomal RNA", at positions 30 to 523 of the family's 1533-position model. The record is from RNAcentral.